AUAUGAGUUGGUACGUUGGCAUUGUUAAGAAUAUUCCAAGUGCCAGUUUGCAGUGAUAAUUUGCAUGUAGAGAAUAAUGUUCCGAACCAGACCGUACAGAAUCGUGAUGCCGUACUUUCAGACCAACUAUUUUAAUGGAGACAGAUGCACCUUCAGACAAUAAACGUCCUUUUGAAACACGAGACCCGGUCGGUCCUUUUGAAACUCAAGACAAAUAAUAUUUGUUUUCGAAGAAACUUUUCGAGACUACGCGUACGCUCGAUGCACACAAAAUUAGACGCUAGCUGGCUUAUUAGUAACUGUUUAUUUGGCGUACAAAGUUACAGAAACGGAUAUUUUUGUUACUUUUUUUAUGAUUUAUGACCAAUCUACUCUCGUUGGGCAAUCGGAUUACGCUAAUGUAAAAAGUCGACCACUCGGAACGAAUACUUUUUCAUCAUUUAGAGCGAUUCCGUGUUGUUUAAGUGUGAAAUUUUUUUGCUUUGGUCACGUGACGUGCCAAAAUGGUUCCGGGAACUGACCCUAUUCCCCCUGGCGAGGUGAAUGAUUGGAAACGUGUCCAUCUUGCAGUCGAAUCAAUCACUAAGCACCAGGGAACUCCCGGUGGGUUCACCUACUUCUCUUUCAGACUAGAUUCACUAAACUUUCCAUUUAAUCUGCUCGAUUUUCUCAAAUUUCACUUACAAAUCAGUAAGCCCCGUUCCUCUACAGAUUUACAACCGUUAUAUUUUACCACGCUAAUCGCGUGAUUUCUCUCUUUCUCUCUCUACUCUACACGAAAAAAUAAUAAUAAUAAGUAAAUAAAUAAGCUAGAAAAACAUAUUCCCAGCACGAGUCUUCAAGGUUGCACCCGAGAAGUUGGCCUAGUCUUCAAGGAUAAAAUUAUAAUAAAAGAUUAACGAAUGCGAAAAAUUAUGCGAAAGUUCAGAACCUAUAACAGCGCGGGUCAACCCAUCUGCGAAAGUUAUCGGCAUAAAUUUUGACUUUUUAAUACUUAAAAUAAGUUAUAACAAAGUUUAGAAAGAUUUUAAAGAUAUGGU
This 1040-nucleotide long non-coding RNA is filed under the name Androctonus crassicauda. Lineage: Eukaryota; Metazoa; Arthropoda; Arachnida; Scorpiones; Buthidae. The record is from RNAcentral.